UUUCCGUAGGUGAACCUGCGGAAGGAUCAUUCAUAAUAAAGUGUUUUAUGGCACUUUUUAAAAAUCCAUAUCCACCUUGUGUGCAAUGUUAGAUCUCGUCAAUCUUGGCGAGAUUUUUAUACAUCAACUCAUUUUUUAACUAAUUUGUCUGAAAAAUAUUAUGAAUACUUAAUUCAAAAUACAACUUUCAACAACGGAUCUCUUGGCUCUCGCAUCGAUGAAGAACACAGC
RNAcentral lists this unclassified non-coding RNA (231 nucleotides) under plant metagenome. Its description in RNAcentral is "partial contains small subunit ribosomal RNA, internal transcribed spacer 1, and 5.8S ribosomal RNA". The stretch from base 183 to 231 matches the Rfam family "5.8S ribosomal RNA", at positions 1 to 49 of the family's 154-position model. The record is from RNAcentral.